GAACCCUCCAAAAAGCAACACCAUUUUCGAAAAAGUCAAUCGCUACCGUAGAAGCACCAUGUCACUCGACACUGGCUGCUAAGUUUUCUCCAGCACUCUCUUCCACUUAAGCGGGUUGUCCAUGUUUCACCAUUCGACAAAGCCAUCGCCAUCUCAACAGUUCGGCCAUCGCGAAACAAUGAAGACCCACCUCAAGCAUCCAACAAAUCGCACUUCGUACACGGUAUUAUGACUCAAAUGAUAAGUAUGUGGUUUAAUUAGUGAUUUAUCUGCAGUAUUAUGUGAAUCGAAGUGCUAUUGUGAAUUGUUUGUUUUCCCGUAAUUUUAUUAUGUGAUUUCAUCUUAUUUCUUAAAAUUUAUGUUUACAGGUGUCAUCCUUCUUUGCAUCAAGCCAUCAACAUAUAUUUUCCAAAUCUGAAUAUGUUGUAUUGCUUUAAACUCAUUGUAUUAAAAGCAGAUUAGUUGUGAAAUAUAAUUUUUUUUUGAACAUUAGGUAGAUUGAUUAAUUCUUCACAAGAGAUUUGUUUCUUGUAUUUUGAGUUGCUGUGAAUUUGAGGAGAAUUGUUUCUUGCAUUUUGAGUUGUGUUUCGUACCUUUUAAGUUGCUAUUGGAUGUAAUUUGAGGAGAAAUGUUUCCUGCUUUUUGAGUUGUUGUUGAAUGGAAGCUGAGAAUUAUUGUUUCAUUUUUUAUGGUAUGCUCAUUUAUAAUUCUCUAUGUGAUUGCGUUCUCGGAAUGGUGGGUAAGAAUUCUGGACUAUGCCAUGGGUGCAG
This 770-nucleotide long non-coding RNA is filed under the name Olea europaea (common olive). Its description in RNAcentral is "long non-coding RNA (OEUR_LNC005254)". Lineage: Eukaryota; Viridiplantae; Streptophyta; Magnoliopsida; Lamiales; Oleaceae. The record is from RNAcentral.